GACGAACGCUGGCGGCGUGCUUAACACAUGCAAGUCGAACGGAAAGGCCCUGCUUUUGUGGGGUGCUCGAGUGGCGAACGGGUGAGUAACACGUGAGUAACUGGCCUUUGACUUGGGGAUAACUUCAGGAAACUGGGGCUAAUACCGGAAAGGAGUUCCUGCUGCAUGGGGGGGGUUGGAAAGUUUCGGCGGUUGGGGAUGGACUCGCGGCUUAUCAGCUUGUUGGUGGGGUAGUGGCUUACCAAGGCUUUGACGGGUAGCCGGCCUGAGAGGGUGACCGGCCACAUUGGUACUGAGAUACGGCCCAGACUCCUACGGGAGGCAGCAGUGGGGAAUAUUGCACAAUGGUCGGAAGCCUGAUGCAGCAACGCCGCGUGCGUGAUGACGGCCUUCGGGUUGUAAACCGCUUUCGCCUGUGACGAAGCGUGAGUGACGGUAAUGGGUAAAGAAGCACCGGCUAACUACGUG
Molecule: ribosomal RNA, 468 nt
Filed under: uncultured bacterium
Lineage: Bacteria
Description: partial 16S ribosomal RNA
Rfam family: Bacterial small subunit ribosomal RNA
Source: RNAcentral